Passer domesticus (house sparrow) is the source of this 4063-nucleotide long non-coding RNA. RefSeq lists it as uncharacterized. The record is from RefSeq and is a predicted model, not a curated record. Lineage: Eukaryota; Metazoa; Chordata; Aves; Passeriformes; Passeridae. The transcript has 5 exons.
UGGGUGCUGUUCAAGGGGCCAAGUCCAGUGCCUGUGGCUGCUGCAGCCCAGGCUGAAGACCAGCACUUGUAGUUCUUCACUAAAUGAGGAACGGGCAAAGUGGUCUUCAGAACUUAGCCUGCUCCUAAAUGAAAAGUGUUCUAAUUCUUAGAGUCAUUGUUCUUGGAUGUAGCAUGAGCUGCUGUUCUCUGAAAAUGUCAAGGCAUUCUUUAGGCAAACUGCUGAGAGGAAGGGAACAUCCCCUCCUCUCCUGGAAUUCACUUUGCAAUAUUCUUUCUGCUCUGCAAAAAGCAGAUGUUGAUAAAAAUUCAUCCCAGAUCCCAGGGUGCACUGAAUCUUUGGAAGUAUGUAAUCUUGUGCUGAAUCUCCCAAGAGAGUGUUUCUUCCCAAGAAAAUGAAGACUCCUGAUUUUUCAGCCCUCCUUCCCAUUUGUAGAUGACAGCCGCUUGCCUUGGUGCCUGUUUGUCUUCUGAUUUCUGUCUGCUCUGAUGGUUUUUCCAUGGGCUUAGUUUCCCCUCAAGGCAACCCUGCAAAGGAGUGUGGGAGAAUCAGACUCUGUGCAGAGCUGCCUGUUUUGCUGGGGCUGCUGUUGUUGUUGUUCUUGUUGAUGUUAUCGUUAGCCAAAAGACCACAAAUUGCUCAGAGCCCCAGAGAGUGGAGCUGGGUUUCAGAUCUCCUGCAAGCUCAAUCUCUCUGUUUUGAACUUUGCUUCUUGCAUUUUGUUUCUUUCAGGGUGUGUGGUGAGUGUGGAAGAUCCAGAAAAGAAGUACACUGGAUGGGAACAUCUUGGCAGUGGGGGCUUUGGAGCUGUUUAUAAGGCCUUCGACACUGCCACAGGACAAGCGGUGAGUGCCCAUGCAGAUCUUGCAGCUCUUGAGUGCUUUCCCUGUGAUGUGAUCUGUGGCCAGAGCUUUGGGCCGCCUGUCUUUGCUGCAGAGGCUGUUCUGCAGAAGCAGUCUGUCUAGAGGCAGGCUGCAAAAUGCAUUUGGGACAGACUUUGUCCUUCCUACCUACCUGAAUGAAUGCAAGGAUGGCCGUGGUGUCUUUCAGAGGACACGCUAGCUUGGAGUUACUGGAUAAAUGUGCAUAGAUUAGCUGAUGGCAAGAGCCAUCAUUCCAGCCCAAUUCCUCUUAAGCCCAGGAUCAGACACAGAUAUUUUGUUUUCUAUCACGUGAUUCAGUUGGAAAAUACAAUGCAAGCCCUUCAGAAAGAGAGAUCUUGUCUGGAGCACAGUUUUGCCUUUCAGUCCUAGGGAACCUAGUUCACAUACACACGCACCUACACACACACACACACACACACACACACACACAGAGACACGUGCACAGAUGAAUGAGAAGAAGUUGAUGAAGAGCCUUAAAUAAUACAACCUUGUGUUGAUCCUGUGUUCCACUAGAGAGAUGCUCUCUGUUCUGAACAGGCAUGGUGGUGUCUUGGAGAGUCUUGCUGCUCUUUGGGGCUAGAAGUUCCAAGUCCUGAAUUCUCCUUUUUGACUCUCAGGAAAUACAUUCCAUCUUCCUUAAUAGUAAGGAAUUAGAGAAGGUAGUUCCUUAUCCACCUGCAGAGCUGUGCUCAGGAACUGCACUUGGAGGGAGGUCUCAGAGGCGUCCAAAAGCCCCAAGCCCUGUACUUAGAACCUGGGGCACAUCCAUAGUGUACCACAGAAAGGGGUAUUCAUUUUUAAACCCAUUCAAUAAUUUCAAGUCUAAAGAUUGUUCUUCAAAGUUGCAAAAGCCAAACUGAAGAAGUGAGGAUGUGCUGGGAUUGUAACUUUACCUUGAGUCGCUUUGCAGUUCUUUUUUGACAGCAUUUUCCCCAUCGUGUUUUAUGUGUUUACUCUGGCACACAAUUGAAUUGGCAGCCAUCUCUUCACAGGAGAAAAAUUACUUUUGGCUUCCAAAGCGUGUGUAAAUGAUAAUAGUAGUGCUAAAUAAAGUCUGUUUGAGAAGCCUGCAGGUGCAGAGGGUGGUGUUAGCGCUUUGUGGUUGAUGGUUUAGAGUCCCUUUUUUCCGAGGUGACAAGGCAUCCAGGCCCAUGAGGGCCAGAGAAAGAGGCUCUGGUCAUGUCUGUCCCUAAGAGCUUUUGAAUGUCAUUGUAGGUGGCUGUAAAGGAACUUUAUCUCCAGCACCAGGGCUGUGAGGGAGUAUUAAAAGAAAUCCUGCUCAUGAGAGAAAAUAAGAACGCCAAUAUUGUCAGCUACUUAGAAAGCUACCUUGUGGAUGAGGCUGUCCUGCUGGUGUUGGAAUAUAUGGAUGGAGGCUCCUUAGCUGAUGUGGUCACCGUGAGAAGGAUGGCUGUAGGACGCAUAGCAACAGUGUGUCGGGAGGUAAGGGGUCCUGCUUGUGCUUGGGAUGGCUUGGACAAGGCUAGUCCUUUGAAAGCACUGCAAAGUGAGUGAUUCCAUGUUCAGAGCUUUCUUUCUGUGUUGCUCUUCUGCUUCAGAGAAGAAAGAGCAUCUGGACUGAACUGCCUGCCAGUGUCCCUGCCCUUCCUGUACUCUGUUCUUCACUCUUAUCCACUAUCAUUGAACUCUCUGUCUCUUUUUCCUUUUUAUUUUCUGUUCUGCACUUUGCCUCCCCAAGCCUUUGCCCAGAGCCUUUCUGCACUGCCUUCUUUGCCUGUAAGUGCAAAGGUGCUGCUGUGAGAGUUUUAAACCAGAGGCCAAGCCAAAGAGAGACUCAUCUGUCACAGGUCUCCACUCCAAAGGAUGGCACGGCACCCAGCAUGGUGCUUGCUGCUGCAAACUGACAAAAGAGCUACUUCCAAGUCUGCUGUUGAGGCAGCCAUAGAACCCUUGUCCUCCAGUCUCCCGACCGACACUGAUCCCCUUGGUAUCCAAGGCAGGGACGUUUUCCUCUUUUGGCAAACCAUUGUUUGUCGUCCGGACGGGGAGAGCGCAUCCGCUGCAGCAGCGCUCAUUCUGACUGGCUUUGCAGGGAACAGUCUGGAGCAACGACUGACUGAUGCUUCCCCCUCCAAAGCUAAUAUGCCUUCCCUUGGAAAGAUCCUGCUCUCCUAGUGCUGCAGCAGCAAGCUCUUCCUCUUGCCAGAACUCACUGCUCCUUGGAGAUCUGAGAAUCUUCAGGAGCAGCCUCCUUUUUCAUGUGAUGAAAUCAGAUCAGGGUAACUUUUGGCCGCCUGUUUCUUUUUCCCCUGGCAGUGCCUGCAAGGCCUGGCUUUCCUUCAUGCCAAGCAGGUGAUCCACAGAGACAUCAAAAGUGACAACAUCCUUCUGGGCCGGGAUGGCUCCGUCAAGCUGGCUGAUUUUGGCCUCUGUGCUGUGCUCAGCCCUGAGCACAGGAAACGGAGAUCGAUGGUCGGGACCACUUACUGGAUGGCACCCGAGGUGGUGAGAAGAGAGCCUUACGGCCCCAAAGUGGACACCUGGUCCCUUGGGAUUGUGGGAAUAGAAAUGGCCACAGGAGAGGCUCCUUAUAUGCAGGAGACCAGUGUCAAGCAUCCAUUUCUGCAAUCAGCGGAGCCUCUCUUAAGCCUCUUCUGACAGCCUGAUUGCUGCCAUCCCUGCAGCAAGGGAAUGCAAGAAGCAAAGGAGAUGACAAGGUGUGAGAGUCUGUCCGAAACUUCCCUCAUUUUUUGCCUCUCGAUCGUCAUGAAAGCCAAGACCACCGGGGAAAGGGAAAGAUCCUGUUCUGAAAAUCCAGGUCUGUCUGGUCCACCAAGCCAGAUUAUUGCCUACGGGUGUGUUUGCUCAACUCAUGGAACACUGCACCCAAGAAGGGGCAGUGUGCUCUCCUUCGCCUGCAUCACCUAGCAACGCUAGUGCUGGAAUUUCUCCACCCUUCUGACUUGGCUGGACUUUCUCUCUGGAAUGACCUUUCCGGAGGUCGCCACAAAAGGACCCUCCAUUCACCGUACAUCAACCACCGUGACAGAUGGACUGAGAUGGGAGAAGGUUCUCCCCUCAAGGACUGAGACGUGCGACCCCUACCUGGAAAAGCUCCCCUCUUUUCCCAAAAGGACUAAGACUAAAAUCCCCACCGUAGGGUGAGGGAAGGUAUGCGUGGGGACCGGAGCAAGUUUUGCAAGCGACCACUGGACCGA